GACGAGCGCUGGCGGCGUGCUUAACACAUGCAAGUCGAACGCUGAAGCUCAGCUUUUGUUGGGUGGAUGAGUGGCGAACGGGUGAGUAACACGUGAGUAACCUGCCUCCUUCUUUGGGAUAACGCCCGGAAACGGGUGCUAAUACUGGAUAUUCACUGGUCUUCGCAUGGGGGUUGGUGGAAAGGGUUUUUCUGGUGGGGGAUGGGCUCGCGGCCUAUCAGCUUGUUGGUGGGGUGAUGGCCUACCAAGGCUUUGACGGGUAGCCGGCCCGAGAGGGUGACCGGUCACAUUGGGACUGAGAUACGGCCCAGACUCCUACGGGAGGCAGCAGUGGGGAAUAUUGCACAAUGGGCGCAAGCCUGAUGCAGCGACGCCGCGUGAGGGAUGGAGGCCUUCGGGUUGUGAACCUCUUUCGCUCAUGGUCAAGCCGCAACAAUGGUUGUGGUGAGGGUAGUGGGUAAAGAAGCGCCGGCUAACUACGUG
Molecule: ribosomal RNA, 483 nt
Filed under: uncultured bacterium
Lineage: Bacteria
Description: partial 16S ribosomal RNA
Rfam family: Bacterial small subunit ribosomal RNA
Source: RNAcentral